RNAcentral lists this ribosomal RNA (492 nucleotides) under uncultured bacterium. Its description in RNAcentral is "partial 16S ribosomal RNA". It matches the Rfam family "Bacterial small subunit ribosomal RNA", at positions 29 to 507 of the family's 1533-position model. The record is from RNAcentral.
AGUGAACGCUGGCGGUAGGCCUAACACAUGCAAGUCGAACGGCAGCACAGUAAGAGCUUGCUCUUACGGGUGGCGAGUGGCGGACGGGUGAGGAAUACAUCGGAAUCUACUUUUUCGUGGGGGAUAACGCAGGGAAACUUACGCUAAUACCGCAUACGACCUACGGGUGAAAGCAGGGGAUCUUCGGACCUUGCGCGAGUGAAUGAGCCGAUGUCGGAUUAGCUAGUUGGCGGGGUAAAGGCCCACCAAGGCGACGAUCCGUAGCUGGUCUGAGAGGAUGAUCAGCCACACUGGAACUGAGACACGGUCCAGACUCCUACGGGAGGCAGCAGUGGGGAAUAUUGGACAAUGGGCGCAAGCCUGAUCCAGCCAUACCGCGUGGGUGAAGAAGGCCUUCGGGUUGUAAAGCCCUUUUGUUGGGAAAGAAAAGCGGCAGGUUAAUCCCCCGCUGUUCUGACGGUACCCAAAGAAUAAGCACCGGCUAACUUCGUG